RNAcentral lists this ribosomal RNA (247 nucleotides) under uncultured bacterium. RNAcentral describes it as "partial 16S ribosomal RNA". It matches the Rfam family "Bacterial small subunit ribosomal RNA", at positions 523 to 769 of the family's 1533-position model. The record is from RNAcentral.
AGACAGAGGGUGCUAGCGUUGUUCGGAAUGACUGGGCGUAAAGGGCGCGUAGGCGGUUAUAUUAGUCAAGCGUGAAAGCCCCGGGCUUAACCCGGGAAUUGCGCCUGAAACGGUAUGACUAGAGGACGAGAGAGGAAAGCGGAAUUCCUAGUGUAGAGGUGAAAUUCGUAGAUAUUAGGAGGAACAUCAGAGGCGAAGGCGGCUUUCUGGCUCGUUACUGACGCUGAGGCGCGAAAGCGUGGGGAGC